AUAUCUCUCUGUACGGGAAGGAUGAGAAGCUUCGACUAAGGUUCGAUUCGAGCGCAGCGAGAAAGCGUUGCCGCAGGCAACGACCCGAAGGGCGAAGCGCGCAGCGCUGAGUAAUC
RNAcentral lists this small RNA (116 nucleotides) under Salmonella enterica subsp. enterica serovar Berta. Its description in RNAcentral is "partial RtT sRNA". It matches the Rfam family "RtT RNA", at positions 1 to 115 of the family's 130-position model. Rfam says of the family: This family represents a bacterial cis-regulatory element known as RtT RNA. The exact function of RtT is unknown although it is thought that it may be involved in changing the cellular response in relation to amino acid starvation. RNAcentral also lists the same sequence under 1 other name. Lineage: Bacteria; Pseudomonadati; Pseudomonadota; Gammaproteobacteria; Enterobacterales; Enterobacteriaceae. The record is from RNAcentral.